Molecule: ribosomal RNA, 484 nt
Filed under: uncultured bacterium
Lineage: Bacteria
Description: partial 16S ribosomal RNA
Rfam family: Bacterial small subunit ribosomal RNA
Source: RNAcentral
AUUGAACGCUGGCGGCAGGCCUAACACAUGCAAGUCGAGCGGAUGAAGGGUGCUUGCUCCUGGAUUCAGCGGCGGACGGGUGAGUAAUGCCUAGGAAUCUGCCUGGUAGUGGGGGAUAACGUCCGGAAACGGGCGCUAAUACCGCAUACGUCCUGAGGGAGAAAGUGGGGGGUCUUCGGACCUCACGCUAUCAGAUGAGCCUAGGUCGGGUUAGCUAGUUGGUGGGGUAAAGGCCUACCAAGGCGACGAUCCGUAACUGGUCUGAGAGGAUGGUCAGUCACACUGGAACUGAGACACGGUCCAGACUCCUAAGGGAGGCAGCAGUGGGGAAUAUUGGACAAUGGGCGAAAGCCUGAUCCAGCCAUGCCGAGUGUGUGAAGAAGGUCUUCGGAUUGUAAAGCACUUUAAGUGGGGAGGAAGGGCAGUAAGUUAAGACGUUGCUGUUUUGACGGUAACAACAGAAUAAGCACCGGCUAACUUCGUG